UCCGCAUUAGUGUAGGGGUUAACAUACUCCGCUUUCAUCUAUGAGCCGGAGAGCCCCGGGUUCGAUUCCCGGAUGCGGAA
RNAcentral lists this transfer RNA (80 nucleotides) under Blumeria hordei DH14. Its description in RNAcentral is "tRNA-Glu for anticodon UUC". It matches the Rfam family "tRNA". From Rfam's summary of the family: Transfer RNA (tRNA) molecules are approximately 80 nucleotides in length. Their secondary structure includes four short double-helical elements and three loops (D, anti-codon, and T loops). The record is from Rfam by way of RNAcentral. Lineage: Eukaryota; Fungi; Ascomycota; Leotiomycetes; Helotiales; Erysiphaceae.